Molecule: ribosomal RNA, 324 nt
Filed under: Triticum aestivum (bread wheat)
Lineage: Eukaryota; Viridiplantae; Streptophyta; Magnoliopsida; Poales; Poaceae
Description: partial small subunit ribosomal RNA
Source: RNAcentral
AUGGUCAUCACCAUGUCAAGAGUCCAUUUGGCAAGUGACACGUGCCACAUCUACUUCAUGCAUACAAAGGUGAAUCAUCUCCUUUACACGUGUUCACUUGUACCUUUCGAGGAUGGUAUACUACUUGACCCCUCUCAGGUGUGCAUACAUAGGUGUGAGCGGAGCUACACAUUCAUCGAGGAGGAGUCCAAGAAGAAGAGAACAUCUACACCAUCCAAGAGGGAAGCCUGGAAGCGGAGAAGGAAGCGCCAAGAAGAAGGCAGCAUCUCCCAUGCGACCCCGUGCGCACGGGCCCCUCCGACCCCGUGCCCACGGGCCUCCUAG